RNAcentral lists this ribosomal RNA (301 nucleotides) under uncultured bacterium. RNAcentral's name for it is "partial 16S ribosomal RNA". It matches the Rfam family "Bacterial small subunit ribosomal RNA", at positions 509 to 807 of the family's 1533-position model. The record is from RNAcentral.
CAGUAGCCGCGGUAAUACGAAGGGUGCAAGCGUUAAUCGGAAUUACUGGGCGUAAAGCGUGCGUAGGCGGUGAGUUAAGUCUGCUGUGAAAUCCCCGGGCUCAACCUGGGAAUGGCAGUGGAUACUGGCUCGCUAGAGUGUGUCAGAGGAUGGUGGAAUUCCCGGUGUAGCGGUGAAAUGCGUAGAGAUCGGGAGGAACAUCAGUGGCGAAGGCGGCCAUCUGGGACAACACUGACGCUGAGGCACGAAAGCGUGGGGAGCAAACAGGAUUAGAUACCCCCGUAGUCCCUGUCUCUUAUAC